RNAcentral lists this long non-coding RNA (5940 nucleotides) under Homo sapiens (human). Its description in RNAcentral is "non-protein coding lnc-SMOC2-8:12". The record is from RNAcentral. Lineage: Eukaryota; Metazoa; Chordata; Mammalia; Primates; Hominidae.
ACUGUAGGGAUGGGCUGCCCUGAGGAGACACUGCCCAGGCCUGGGUGCCCCGGGCCAAAGUCCUGACCCUUGCAGGGCUGUGUCCUGUGGAUGACAUGUGGCACUGGACUGCUCACUGACAGGUCACACCCAUCUUCAGUCUCUGCUCACCAUGACAGAGUCACAGCCACACCCGGGACAGAACCUGGGCUCCGGGCAGCAGGUAAUAGGAGGAUAUUCUACCCAGGGCCGGAACAAGCCAGGUCCAGCCUCAACUGCUCUGUGGCUAGUAAGUGCGAGGAUGCUGUGUCACAGGUGUCACACGUCACUAAGAGAACGUCGUGGGCGCACGGGGAAUGUCUUUAUGGCACUGUCUGGAAGCAGGCUGCAUCUCAGCAGCUCCAGAGGUUACAGGGGCUGGUUUUCACCAACACAAGAAGUGUUAGAGACAGGAGACGUGGAGGAACCUGUCGAACCUGGUGGGGAUCGAGUUUAAACACAUCUGCACACACUUGGGUGUGUGUGUCCCAGCGCAUCUCAGCCCUGAGUGCCCACACCUGGCUUCCCUGCCCCCCCACCCCUCCUACCCCACAGUCCACACUGCCCCACACCUACUCGUGUCCAGAAAGCUCUCGCUGAGCCUCCUCCCACAUCAGCCACUCUUGGAGGACUGAGAAAACAGUGGUGGGGGGCCAGUUCCCAAAUCCAGGCGCUCCUGGCACAUCCAAAUCCGGGACGACUGACCAAGGGCUCGCACUCAGCCUGAGGAAGCAAGUGGUCCUUUGACUCGGAGUAAGAACUGCUCAGAGGCCAACGUGCUCUGGCUCGGGUCCCCCUGGCACCUCCAGGCAGGUCUUUCUAAUUUGGUUCCUGAACACGCUCCAGCUCCCAUCCUGAGGCCUGCCCUUGCCCUUCCCUCCCCCAUUGCUCUUCCCACCCUCCUCCCUUGCCAUUCCCUGUCCUCAUUGCUCUUCCCACCUUCCUCCUUCCGCUCCCUCUCAAGGCCCUGCCCUGUCUGGUUCACCAUCCUCCUCUCGUCCUCUCCUGGCUCCUCCCCAGAGCUUGGUGUUCAUUCGGACGCCUUCUCCCUGCAGCCUCCACCAGGGCCCUGGCUGCCCUCGCCCUCCAGCAAGUCACUGUAUUUUACGUUCUUCAUGGAGUUUUUUACUUUUGAGAUUUAUCAACUUUACAUGCAUGUUUGCUGCACCCCCUCACUAGAUUUCAUCUACAUGGGAACAGAGACCCCUCUGCUUUGCUCCCUGCUGUAAACAUCCCGGCUCGGGAAAGUCUCUAUCUACAGACACUGCUGGGUGCUGAGUUUCCAGAGCAGUCAAUGCGAUGUGCGACUCCGUGGUGAGAACUGAAGAUGCAUGAGGAUGAGGGGCGCUCGAUCCCUGUCCUCUGUGAUCUGGUACAACAGAAUCAACCCCUGCAUGGUGGGCCCCAGUGAGCAGCCUGCGGGAUGCACGGAGCCACCCAGAAACACGUGAACUCGGUGGCAGCAGCAGAGACAGAAACAUCUCACAGUACACCAGGAAUGAAAGUGUAAAAUACUUAGCAUUUGACAAGGUUUCCAGUUAUAUGUUCUUCUUUGAGCAUCAAAUGAGGGUCCCAUACCUAUUUCUGUGCUCAUGUUACAGACAGAAUGGAAACACAGAGAGUUACAGAGAUGUGAUCCAGGUGGGGGCUGGGAAGGGGCUUCCUGCAGAGGUUUAUACCCAGGCUCGUGGAGAAAAUGCCCUACGAGGGACCAAGCCAAGGACUCAAGCAAACGCAGGGAAUGAGACAGCGUUUCCAGGCCAGAAUGCGGGAGCCCUUCAGCAGAAUCAGGGGUUAGGAAGCUCGGUGACUUCAGGCAGGAAGGCGAUGGAACGGGAACAGGGUCUUUCUGUUUCACGUAGGCGAUGGAACGGGAAUGGGGGUCUUUACUUUUCACGCAGGUGAUGGAACAGGAACGGGGUCCUUCCAUGUGGGAAAUGCUGAGCCUGCGCUGCCAACCGCCUCCGGGUGAGACAUCUUGUGGACAGCUGGGACAGGCGGCAGAGUAAGAGGCAGUGGUUUAGAAGUCAAAUGCCCUUGGACAAUUGUGGAAGCUUUUGAUUUUAUUAUUUUAUUAUUAACUGAAAAAAAUAGAAAAUAGAAAAUAGAAAAAAAUAGAAUUGGAGAGGAGGAAUAAGUAGAUGUUUAGCAACAGAGCGUGCAAUGCAGCAGCACACUGAGAAAAGUAGCCCAGAAAGGACGGGGAGCUUCAGGAGGCGACAACUCACAAAUAUGACGGCCACUCACAGGCCAGUCCUGCAAACGACAGAUGACUCCAGGAGAGGCCGGGCGUGGUGGCUCACACCUGCAAUCCCAGCACUUUGGGAGGCUGAGGCAGGUGGAUCACCUGAGGUCAGGAGUUCGAGACCAGCCUGGCCAACAUGGCGAAACCCCGUCUCUACUAAAAAUACAAAAAUUAGCCGGGCGUGGUGGCGGGCACCUGUAAUCUCAGCUACUCGGGAGGCAGAGGCAGGAGAAUUGCUUGAACCUGGGAGGCAGAGGUUGCAGUGAGUCGAGAUCAUGCCAUUGCAAUUCAGCCUGGGCAACAGGGCGAGACUCCAUCUCGAAAACAAAACAAAACAAAACAAAUGACUUGAGGAGACGGCUUCAGAAAAUACUGUUGUGUUUGGUGACUGAGUGGUUAUUCAUGUUCUUGGACAAUGCUUUCCAAAUGUUAGUUUGCCUACAGGUCACGCAAACAUCCUGCAUGUGAAGGCAGACUCCGGAGGUCUGGGAAGCACUGGGUUUUGGGUUUUUUUGUAUAAAAGCUUCCAGAUGGCACUGAUGCUGCCUGUCAGGGGACUACACCUUGACAAGCCUGUAGAGACUGUGUUAGAAGGGCAGGGUGAACACCAGAUCCCGUAGCGAGGUAAGGGGUAAGCAGGUGUGAGGAGGCAGGGCAGACACAUGGCCGCCUUCUAGGAGUCUGAGAGUGGAGAUUAGGAUAAUAGAAGCUUAAUGGCAUUUUAAGGUUAAAGAUCUUAUUUUUUGCUUUGUAUUGAUUUUGGACGGAUGAGUCCUGGAAAAAUUAAUUGCCAAGGGUCACUUGGAAGAGAGUGGGUGCCGUGACAUCGGUGGGGUCACCCAAUGUCAGACUGGCGAGCAUUUUGAGUUGCCCGUAACUGUUGUGCCUCAAGCUCCUGGUGUUCCCGGAGGCUGUGCCCUGGAGGCCCGUUGCAGAGAACACGGAGGCACAUUCUCCUGCUGUGAAGUCAGCCCAGGCAAGGCAGGCGUGGCAGCCUGUACCAUUGGUGUGGCCACGGGGCCGAGAGGGCAGGAAACAGAGAGAGGGAGGUUGGUUUCAUGUUGCAAAAUGCCGGAUGAGUGGGCAAACCCCCCGCAAUUCUGUCUGGCCAAAUUAUACUUUUAGGUUCAGGCCUAUACUUUAUAUUUUAAAAGCUCAAAUUAUUUUAUAAUCUCCUGAAAAUACAUCAUCUUGCCAUUUGCUUUCAAUACUGCACUGCGACCUUUUAUAAUCUUUCAAAAACAUGUUCUCCCUUUGGAUAAAUGAGAAAAUAAAUAGUAUUCAGUGAAGACCAACUACUGAAUUAUUUUAAAAUAUCUUGUUUAUAAAAGGUUUUUACCAGUGAGAGGAUUUAAGAGUUGCUUGGCUCUUGAAGCCAGCAGAGACUUCUGUGUGCAUUGCUUCAUUUGUGGGGGAGGACUCUAGCCCCACAUGGCAGAUGAAAAACUGUGCCUCGGAGGAGUUAAGCGAAUUGCUGAGGAUGGUACCACAGAGAGCGACUGAGGCGACAGCCAGCAUCCAGCCUCCAGAGUUCCACUGUGCUUCCCCAAAGACAGGCGGGCUCUCCUCAAGCACAUUUUUACUUUAGGAGCUGCUGAAACUGGGGUGUGGACCACGGGAUCCCCCCUGACCAGCCUCAAGCCCGAGCCUGCGAUUCUCUCAUCCGCACUUCACCAGCUGAGGUGAAGGGUGGGCCUCCAUUUUGGUUGAAUUACAUUCUCUCUCACAGAACCAUCUGGAAACCCCAUCACCUUAAUAAUUCAGUGUUGUUUGAUGCUGUGAAAGGUGAAAAAGACUUCAAUUCUUACUACCAAAUUGUGCUGGGGAGUGACACAGAUAGUCAGUCUCUCAGCAGCACGCACACCCUGUUAGAAGGGGGUAUGGUUUUUACUUUCCGCUUAUUCCCGGCAAAUCCUGUGGCUUCCACUAAGCAAGGAUGUCCUCUGAGCACCCUGACCCUCCCGAUUCCCGUGCACCGCCCCAGCCUCCGCUGUCGCCUGCCCUCCACCUGGCGCCUCCGUUAUUUACUUGUUCCCCAGGUUCAGUCUCGGGCGGCCUCGGCUUUCUCCACGUCUUCUCCCUGCACAGUGGCAACGCUUCCAGAACCCCAGCUGCUCUAACACCAGGCCCAGCUCCUCCAACCCAAGCGUCUCUACCCAACUGUGGGAUCUGUCCGCACCUCCAGAUGGGGAGGCCCACGUCUCCGUGUCACCUGAGGGCGGGUGUGUUUAGAAGCAUGCUUUUGCAUCUCCACCACUGGAGACACAGGGACUUGGGGUGUGUACGUUUUGUGAAAACUCAAACAUGGGCCUCACCUUUUGGUUUUAUGGAUGUGAACCACGUCCCUGCAGUCAUCAGAGUGGAAUGCUGCUAGCGGCUGGCCCUAGGCUGAGUGUUUGACCGGGAAUACCCACACACUUCUCUCAACUAACCCGUGAGGUUGGCAUGUUCAGUACCUGGGGAGAAAGUGGGGUAACAAUGACAGGACUAAAGCCCACAGCCUGGGGCCUGGCACCUGGCAAGUGCCCUCUGGGUGUUGGUGGAGUUCUUACUUGGAUGACUUUAAUCAUUACAGAGGCUCCCUAAGGCCACACAGCUGGUAGGGGCUCUGGCCCCGUCUCAUCUCACUCCAGAGCCCCAGGUGAGUGCAAGGCAGAACCUCUAUGUUUCUGUCUCAGAUUCUUCUCAUUGCUUUGUUUUUCUCAAAACAUUUCAUUUUAUCAAUGAUGAAUACUAAAAUUAGAUUAUUUUCUUUUUGUUGAAACUAUAUGUAUUGAUUUUUUGUCUUUGGAGUUGUCAUAAAACACCUGUGGUCAAAUCCAGGCCCUUCCAGUUACCAGCAAUGUGACCCUCUGCACGCUAAUCACCUCCCUGAUGACUCAGUUUCCCCAUCUGUAAAGGAGAAGCAAUGGAAGUACUGGGCAGUUUAAAUAACAUAAAUGUUGCAGAACACUUGGUACAUGGCCAGACAUGCAGUAGGUAUUCCAUAAAGGAAGCUAUUUGUAUUUUUUGUUUCAAAUUCUAUUCCAUGGUGAACGUUUGUUUACUGUCUCAGAUGUGAUGUGAGAUUCCAUUUUGAAUAGCUUUCAGGAAUGUGACACGAAAUUAUCUUCCUUCUUCCAUCAGCUAAAAACUACUGUAUAAAUGUUUCAAGCUCUGCUCCCCCUACUCUUACCAAUGAUAAACAUGCCCCUAGGUUUCCCCUACAGCCACCCCAGCUCCUCGCUCUACAUCUCCCUCUCCCCACCGCCACCUUCCGCCCCUGCCCUGCGGCUCCCACCGCCCCUGCCCUGCUGCUCCCACCGCCCCUGCUCUGCUCUGCUGCUCCUUCCGCCCCUGCCCUGCGGCUCCUACGGCCCCUGCCCUGCUGCUCCUUCCGCCCCCGCCCCGCUGCUCCUUCCGCCCCCGCCCCGAGGCUCCUUCCGCCCCUAUCGCUCUGCUCCUUCCGCCCCUGCCCGGCGGCUCCUUCCGCCCCUGCCGCUCUGCUCCUUCCACCCCUGCUCUGCUGCUCUGGGCUUUCCCCGAGGCUUUGCUGCCCACACUCUUCUUGCUCGUCAGACCCACCAAGGUUGCAGAGAAAGGCAGACAGCAGCAGAUGGCUAGGAAACGAAUACUCAACAAUAGGGUGAUUUCAGAACUAAAUUCCAAAGAAUUCAGCCUACAGAGCAAAAACUCAC